UACGAAGGGUGCAAGCGUUAGUCGGAAUUACUGGGCGUAAAGCGUGCGUAGGCGGUUUCCUAAGUCGGAUGUGAAAGCCCUGGGCUCAACCUGGGAAUGGCACUCGAUACUGGGAAGCUGGAGUGCGGUAGAGGAGGGUGGAAUUCCCGGUGUAGCGGUGAAAUGCGUAGAGAUCGGGAGGAACAUCAGUGGCGAAGGCGACCCUCUGGACCAGCACUGACGCUGAGGCACGAAAGCGUGGGGAGCAAACAGG
Molecule: ribosomal RNA, 253 nt
Filed under: uncultured bacterium
Lineage: Bacteria
Also listed under: 1 other name
Description: partial 16S ribosomal RNA
Rfam family: Bacterial small subunit ribosomal RNA
Source: RNAcentral